GACUUGACAUGCAUGGAUUAACUCCUGGAAACAGGAGCCAGGCCUUCGGGUACAACGUGCACAGGUGCUGCAUGGCUGUCGUCAGCUCGUGUCGUGAGAUGUCGGGUUAAGUCCCUUAACGAGCGAAACCCUUGUCUCUAGUUGCCAGCGGGUCAUGCCGGGAACUCUAGAGAGACUGCCGGUGUUAAACCGGAGGAAGGUGGGGAUGACGUCAAGUCCUCAUGGCCUUUAUGAUUAGGGCUGCACACGUCCUACAAUGGCGCGAACAAAGGGAAGCAAACUCGCGAGAGCAAGCAAAUCCCAAAAAACGCGCCUCAGUUCGGAUUGCAGGCUGCAACUCGCCUGCAUGAAGCCGGAAUCGCUAGUAAUCGCGGGUCAGCAUACCGCGGUGAAUAUGUUCCUGAGCC
Molecule: ribosomal RNA, 407 nt
Filed under: uncultured Planctomycetota bacterium
Lineage: Bacteria; Pseudomonadati; Planctomycetota
Description: bacterial SSU rRNA
Rfam family: Bacterial small subunit ribosomal RNA
Source: RNAcentral